UACGUAGGGUCCGAGCGUUGUCCGGAAUUACUGGGCGUAAAGAGCUCGUAGGUGGUUUGUCGCGUUGUUCGUGAAAACUCACAGCUCAACUGUGGGCGUGCGGGCGAUACGGGCAGACUGGAGUACUGCAGGGGAGACUGGAAUUCCUGGUGUAGCGGUGGAAUGCGCAGAUAUCAGGAGGAACACCGGUGGCGAAGGCGGGUCUCUGGGCAGUAACUGACGCUGAGGAGCGAAAGCGUGGGGAGCGGACAGG
RNAcentral lists this ribosomal RNA (253 nucleotides) under uncultured bacterium. Its description in RNAcentral is "partial 16S ribosomal RNA". It matches the Rfam family "Bacterial small subunit ribosomal RNA", at positions 524 to 776 of the family's 1533-position model. The record is from RNAcentral.